Molecule: long non-coding RNA, 181 nt
Organism: Mugil cephalus (flathead mullet)
Lineage: Eukaryota; Metazoa; Chordata; Actinopteri; Mugiliformes; Mugilidae
Exons: 2
Source: RefSeq, a predicted model, not a curated record
AAAAGGUACACAACUGAUGUAGGUUUCAAACAAUGUGGGGGGAGAGAGGGACCGGUGGGGCUUGUGCCAUAUAAAAUAGACAAAUUACAAUCAAAAUGAGCCUAGCUCAACUAUCUGUGUGAAAAGAAAAGAAAAGAAAAGAAAAGAAAAGAAAAGAAAAGAAAAGAAAAGAAAAGAAAAG